This 351-nucleotide ribosomal RNA is filed under the name uncultured Acidobacteriota bacterium. Its description in RNAcentral is "bacterial SSU rRNA". It matches the Rfam family "Bacterial small subunit ribosomal RNA", at positions 15 to 350 of the family's 1533-position model. Lineage: Bacteria; Pseudomonadati; Acidobacteriota. The record is from RNAcentral.
GAUCCUGGCUCAGAAUCAACGCUGGCGGCGUGCCUAACACAUGCAAGUCGAACGCGAAAGUUCCUUCGGGGAUGAUUAGAGUGGCGUCCGGGUGAGUAACACGUGGGUAAUCUGCCUUCGGGUGGGGAAUAACGUCUCGAAAGAGACGCUAAUACCGCAUAAUGCAGCGGCACCUAAUGGUGAAUAGUUGUUAAAGCGGGGGAUCGCAAGACCUCGCGCCUGAAGAAGAGCCUGCGGCCGAUUAGCUAGUUGGUGAGGUAAUGGCUCACCAAGGCUUCGAUCGGUAGCUGGUCUGAGAGGACGGCCAGCCACACUGGCACUGACACACGGGCCAGACUCCUACGGGAGGCA